This is a small nucleolar RNA of Jaculus jaculus (lesser Egyptian jerboa), 133 nucleotides long. The record is from Ensembl. Lineage: Eukaryota; Metazoa; Chordata; Mammalia; Rodentia; Dipodidae.
CAGCAAGCCUCCCGCGUGCUCUCAUUUGCAGUGAUCCUGUGCAUUCCUACAAUGCUUGCCAGAGCAGUUUUGAAGUGGUUUGAGGUCUUGUUUGGCUCUCCCCAGAAUAAGGUUAUAGAAAUUUCAGGAAAUU